This 161-nucleotide ribosomal RNA is filed under the name uncultured bacterium. RNAcentral's name for it is "partial 16S rRNA". It matches the Rfam family "Bacterial small subunit ribosomal RNA", at positions 358 to 511 of the family's 1533-position model. The record is from RNAcentral.
GGAAUCUUCCACAAUGGGCGCAAGCCUGAUGGAGCAACGCCGCGUGAGUGAAGAAGGUCUUCGGAUCGUAAAACUCUGUUGUUAGAGAAGAACACGAGUGAGAGUAACUGUUCAUUCGAUGACGGUAUCUAACCAGCAAGUCACGGCUAACUACGUGCCCG